CCUACGGGUGGCAGCAGUGAGGGAUAUUGGACAAUGGGGGCAACCCUGAUGCAGCCACGCCGCGUGAGUGAAGAAGGCCUUCGGGUUGUAAAGCUCUGUCCGCUGGGAAGAUAGUGUCAGUGUCAGAAGAGGUGGCUAUGGCUAACUACGUGCCAGCAGCCGCGGUAAUACGGAGGGAGCGAGCGUUGGCCGGAUUUACUGGGUGUAACGGGUGCGUAGGCGGCCCUGCAAGUCAGAAGUGAAAUCCCUGGGCUUAACCCGGGAACUGCUUUUGAAACUGAAGAACUAGAGUGGAGUAGAGGUAGGCGGAAUUCCCGGUGUAGCGGUGAAAUGCGUAGAGAUCGGGAGGAACACCAGUGGCGAAGGCGGCCUACUGGGCUUUAACUGACGCUGAAGCACGAAAGCGUGGGUAGCAAACAGGAUUAGAUACCCUUGUAGUC
RNAcentral lists this ribosomal RNA (440 nucleotides) under uncultured bacterium. RNAcentral describes it as "partial 16S ribosomal RNA". It matches the Rfam family "Bacterial small subunit ribosomal RNA", at positions 338 to 795 of the family's 1533-position model. The record is from RNAcentral.